RNAcentral lists this ribosomal RNA (460 nucleotides) under uncultured bacterium. RNAcentral's name for it is "partial 16S ribosomal RNA". It matches the Rfam family "Bacterial small subunit ribosomal RNA", at positions 338 to 795 of the family's 1533-position model. The record is from RNAcentral.
CCUACGGGAGGCAGCAGUGAGGAAUAUUGGUCAAUGGACGAGAGUCUGAACCAGCCAAGUAGCGUGAAGGAUGACUGCCCUAUGGGUUGUAAACUUCUUUUAUAUGGGAAUAAAAUGUUCCACGUGUGGGAUUUUGUAUGUACCAUAUGAAUAAGGAUCGGCUAACUCCGUGCCAGCAGCCGCGGUAAUACGGAGGAUCCGAGCGUUAUCCGGAUUUAUUGGGUUUAAAGGGAGCGUAGGUGGAUUGUUAAGUCAGUUGUGAAAGUUUGCGGCUCAACCGUAAAAUUGCAGUUGAAACUGGCAGUCUUGAGUAUAGUAGAGGUAGGCGGAAUUCGUGGUGUAGCGGUGAAAUGCUUAGAUAUCACGAAGAACUCCGAUUGCGAAGGCAGUUCACUGGACUGCAACUGACACUGAGGCUCGAAAGUGUGGGUAUCAAACAGGAUUAGAUACCCUUGUAGUC